AUAUUUAUUAUCAUUUUUUUUUUUCUCUAGAUACUUGUUUGUGUUCUGGCCUUACUGAAGACCGAUAAAGAUUUGGAAGUCCGAAGAUGUGCAGUGAUGGUCAUUACUCUCUUAUUUCGAGGAAUUGGAAAUGAUUUGCUUAAGGUGUUAGAAAAAGAAAUAAAAAGCCUCUAUAUACAAUUGAAAAUUGUGUACAGCACAGAAGCUGAUGAUGUUUUGCGUCUCCAUUCGCAGCUAGCAUUGGAAGAAAUAAAUGUGGUGAUGAAGGAACUCUUGUUAACAAAGCUGCCUUUAAAGAAAGAAAUUCGAAUUUUACAGUAACUGUAAUGCAAUGUUUUUGAUGUGUUUAAAAAUUUGUAAUAAAAAACAAAUUAAA
Stegodyphus dumicola is the source of this 376-nucleotide long non-coding RNA. The record is from RefSeq and is a predicted model, not a curated record. Lineage: Eukaryota; Metazoa; Arthropoda; Arachnida; Araneae; Eresidae.